AUUGAACGCUGGCGGCAUGCCUUACACAUGCCAGUCGAACGGCAGCACGGGUGCUUGCACCUGGUGGCGAGUGGCGAACGGGUGAGUAAUACAUCGGAACGUACCUUAUCGUGGGGGAUAACGCAGCGAAAGUUGCGCUAAUACCGCAUACGCCCUGAGGGGGAAAGCGGGGGACCGUAAGGCCUCGCGCGAUUAGAGCGGCCGAUGUCUGAUUAGCUUGUUGGUGAGGUAAAAGCUCACCAAGGCGAUGAUCAGUAGCUGGUCUGAGAGGACGAUCAGCCACACUGGGACUGAGACACGGCCCAGACUCCUACGGGAGGCAGCAGUGGGGAAUUUGGGACAAUGGGGGCAACCCUGAUCCAGCAAUGCCGCGUGAGUGAAGAAGGCCUUCGGGUUGUAAAGCUCUUUUGUCAGGGAAGAAACAGCAGCUCUAACACAGUCUGGGAAUGACGGUACCUGAAGAAUAAGCACCGGCUAACUACGUG
Molecule: ribosomal RNA, 485 nt
Filed under: uncultured bacterium
Lineage: Bacteria
Description: partial 16S ribosomal RNA
Rfam family: Bacterial small subunit ribosomal RNA
Source: RNAcentral